CUCUCUUUCUUGCUCUUGUUGCAAAUUAAGGAAUUUAAAAUUAGCUUUUGCUAAUUACCUCCAACUCAGAACAAGAGUUACAAGGGUCAUCGCCAUUUAAAACAAGCUGCUCCAAACCUUACCACUUUUCAUUCCCAAUAUAACCAUCAACCAUACUACAUUCACCAUUACAAAUCCAUAAAAAAAAUUAAAACAUAAGUACUGAAUAAAGAAGGAAAAAAAAAAAAUAAAGACCCACUUGAUUUGUAGAACAAAACCUCCAUUAUUAUCACCAUUCUCGUUCCCAUCGAUGGUAUUACAAUUAGGACUUUGAGGAUGAUGGUUUUCAUCCAAAGCUUCAGGCUUUAAACAAAGCAUCAUUGUAAGAACGCCAACAAUGAAAAUCUAAUACACACUCAAGAUUGUAAUUUUAGUUUAAUUUCACAAUCAGUGGUUCAUUUUCUUUCUUCUUCUUGCACCUGUUGAACACAUAGGAAUCUAAUGACUCCACCAACUAAAGACUACCUUUUCAAGACAAAAAGAAAAGAAAAUCAACAUGGACAUUAUUUUUUUUCAACUGCUACAAAGAGGUCUAAAGAAAAGGGACAAAAGAUGGAGAGAAAUGGAGUACAAAAGGUGUGAUGGAGAGGGAGAGGUAGAGAGACG
This 645-nucleotide long non-coding RNA is filed under the name Gossypium raimondii (Peruvian cotton). RNAcentral describes it as "long non-coding RNA (GRAI_LNC001876)". Lineage: Eukaryota; Viridiplantae; Streptophyta; Magnoliopsida; Malvales; Malvaceae. The record is from RNAcentral.